GCCCAAGAGAUCGGGAUAACACCUAGGAAACAGAUGCUAAUACCGGAUAACAACGGAUGAUGCCUAUCAACUGUUUAAAAGAUGGUUCUGCUAUCACUCUUGGAUGGACCUGCGGUGCAUUAGCUAGUUGGUAGGGUAACGGCCUACCAAGGCGAUGAUGCAUAGCCGAGUUGAGAGACUGAUCGGCCACAUUGGGACUGAGACACGGCCCAAACUCCUACGGGAGGCAGCAGAC
Molecule: ribosomal RNA, 235 nt
Filed under: uncultured Lactobacillus sp.
Lineage: Bacteria; Bacillati; Bacillota; Bacilli; Lactobacillales; Lactobacillaceae
Description: partial 16S ribosomal RNA
Rfam family: Bacterial small subunit ribosomal RNA
Source: RNAcentral